RNAcentral lists this ribosomal RNA (277 nucleotides) under uncultured bacterium. RNAcentral describes it as "partial 16S ribosomal RNA". It matches the Rfam family "Bacterial small subunit ribosomal RNA", at positions 28 to 298 of the family's 1533-position model. The record is from RNAcentral.
GACGAACGCUGGCGGCGUGCCUAAUACAUGCAAGUCGAGCGCUUAUAUCUCCUUCGGGAGAUAUGGGAGCGGCGGACGGGUGAGUAACACGUGGGCAAUCUGCCCCUUAGACUGGAAUAACGCCUGGAAACGGGUGCUAAUGCCAGAUAGAGCAUCUUGGAGGCAUCUUCGAGAUGGGAAAGGUGCUACGGCAUCGCUAAGGGAGGAGCCCGCGGCGCAUUAGCUAGUUGGUGAGGUAACGGCCCACCAAGGCGACGAUGCGUAGCCGACCUGAGAG